GACGAACGCUGGCGGCGUGCCUAAUACAUGCAAGUAGAACGCACAGUUUAUACCGUAGCUUGCUACACCAUAGACUGUGAGUUGCGAACGGGUGAGUAACGCGUAGGUAACCUGCCUGGUAGCGGGGGAUAACUAUUGGAAACGAUAGCUAAUACCGCAUAAUAUUAAUUAUUGCAUGAUAAUUGAUUGAAAGGUGCAAUUGCACCACUACCAGAUGGACCUGCGUUGUAUUAGCUAGUAGGUGAGGUAACGGCUCACCUAGGCGACGAUACAUAGCCGACCUGAGAGGGUGAUCGGCCACACUGGGACUGAGACACGGCCCAGACUCCUACGGGAGGCAGCAGUAGGGAAUCUUCGGCAAUGGACGAAAGUCUGACCGAGCAACGCCGCGUGAGUGAAGAAGGUUUUCGGAUCGUNA
Molecule: ribosomal RNA, 418 nt
Filed under: uncultured bacterium
Lineage: Bacteria
Description: bacterial SSU rRNA
Rfam family: Bacterial small subunit ribosomal RNA
Source: RNAcentral